This 56-nucleotide transfer RNA is filed under the name uncultured Pelagophyceae. Its description in RNAcentral is "partial tRNA". The record is from RNAcentral. Lineage: Eukaryota; Pelagophyceae.
UGGUCAUAACAUUUGGCUCCGGAUCGAAAUUAAGGUCAUGGGUUCGAAUCCCAGUC